Molecule: unclassified non-coding RNA, 386 nt
Filed under: soil metagenome
Description: partial contains 5.8S ribosomal RNA, internal transcribed spacer 2, and large subunit ribosomal RNA
Rfam family: 5.8S ribosomal RNA (bases 1-119)
Source: RNAcentral
AUGAAGAACGUAGCGAAAUGCGAUAAGUAAUGUGAAUUGCAGAAUUCAGUGAAUCAUCGAAUCUUUGAACGCACCUUGCGCUCCUUGGUAUUCCGAGGAGCAUGCCUGUUUGAGUGUCAUGAAAUUCUCAACCUUUUCAGCUUUCUUUGUUGAUCAGGCUUGGAUGUGGGAGUAUGCGGGCUUCUCAGAAGUCGGCUCUCCUGAAAUGCAUUAGCGGGACCUUUGUUGCCUGGCUUUGGUGUGAUAAUUAUCUACGCCAUUGUAGUCAAGCAGCUUAAAAUGAGGUUUCAGCUUCUAACCGUCUCCCCUGAGACAACUUUUUGACAAUUUGACCUCAAAUCAGGUAGGACUACCCGCUGAACUUAAGCAUAUCAAUAAGCGGAGGA